CAGAGUGUAGCCAAAUACCCAAUGCGUUUCCCCUACACCGAAAAGAUACCCGUGAAAUUCGGGUCACUCUGA
RNAcentral lists this transfer RNA (72 nucleotides) under Tigrigobius multifasciatus. RNAcentral's name for it is "tRNA-Val". Lineage: Eukaryota; Metazoa; Chordata; Actinopteri; Gobiiformes; Gobiidae. The record is from RNAcentral.